RNAcentral lists this ribosomal RNA (558 nucleotides) under Devriesia sp. OTU55 TS-2013. RNAcentral describes it as "eukaryotic LSU rRNA". It matches the Rfam family "Eukaryotic large subunit ribosomal RNA", at positions 62 to 648 of the family's 3401-position model. The record is from RNAcentral. Lineage: Eukaryota; Fungi; Ascomycota; Dothideomycetes; Mycosphaerellales; Teratosphaeriaceae.
AAACCAACAGGGAUUGCCCUAGUAACGGCGAGUGAAGCGGCAACAGCUCAAAUUUGAAAUCUGGCGCAAGCCCGAGUUGUAAUUUGUAGAGGAUGCUUCUAGGCAGCGGCCGGUCUAAGUUCCUUGGAACAGGACGUCAUAGAGGGUGAGAAUCCCGUAUGUGACCGGUUGGCACCUAAUACGUAGCUCCUUCGACGAGUCGAGUAGUUUGGGAAUGCUGCUCUAAAUGGGAGGUAAAUUUCUUCUAAAGCUAAAUACCGGCCAGAGACCGAUAGCGCACAAGUAGAGUGAUCGAAAGAUGAAAAGCACUUUGGAAAGAGAGUUAAAAAGCACGUGAAAUUGUUGAAAGGGAAGCGCAUGCAACCAGACUUGUCGGCGGUGUUCCGCCGGUCUUCUGACCGGUCUAUUCGCCGUCGGCAGGCCAGCAUCACUUGGGGCCGCCAGAUAAAGGCCCGGGAAUGUAGCUCCUCGGAGUGUUAUAGCCCGGCGCACAAUAUGGCGCGUCCCGAGUGAGGUCCGCGCUUCGGCUAGGAUGCUGGCGUAAUGGUUGUUUGCGGC